Molecule: ribosomal RNA, 406 nt
Filed under: uncultured bacterium
Lineage: Bacteria
Description: partial 16S ribosomal RNA
Rfam family: Bacterial small subunit ribosomal RNA
Source: RNAcentral
AUUGAACGCUGGCGGCAAGCCUAACACAUGCAAGUCGAACGAGUGGCGGACGGGUGAGUAAUGUCUGGGAAACUGCCUGAUGGAGGGGGAUAACUACUGGAAACGGUAGCUAAUACCGCAUACCAUCGGAUGUGCCCAGAUGGGAUUGGCUAGUAGGUGGGGUAAAGGCUCACCUAGGCGACGAUCCCGAGCUGGUCUGAGAGGAUUACCAGCCCAGUUGGAACUGAGAAACGGUCCAUGCUCCUCCGGGAGGCAGCAGUGGGGAAUAUUGGACCAUGGGCGCAGGCCUGAUGCAGCCAUGCCGCGUGUAUGAAGAAGGCCUUCGGGUUGUAAAGUACUUUCAGCCGGGAGGCGUUACCCGCAGAAGAAGCACCGGCUAACUCCGUGCCAGCCGCCGCGGUAAUAC